AACCAAUCAACGCUGAAUUCCCGCCAUGCGGGAAACGGGGGAACCACCAGGCGAUAAGCCUACUUGGGGUGAAUCCGAAGGGGACUGCACCAAUGCAGUUUCACUAGGCAGGGCGACUCUCACCGUCCGAAUCCGACAGCUAACCCCGUAAGCGUAUAGAGAGAGAACUU
Molecule: small RNA, 170 nt
Filed under: Paenibacillus riograndensis
Lineage: Bacteria; Bacillati; Bacillota; Bacilli; Caryophanales; Paenibacillaceae
Description: c-di-AMP sequence
Rfam family: c-di-AMP riboswitch aptamer (ydaO/yuaA leader)
About the family: This family represents a conserved RNA structure found upstream of the ydaO and yuaA genes in Bacillus subtilis and related genes in other bacteria. The ydaO/yuaA element is thought to act as a genetic "off" switch for the ydaO and yuaA genes in its native state.
Source: RNAcentral